This is a long non-coding RNA of Mugil cephalus (flathead mullet), 357 nucleotides long. RefSeq lists it as uncharacterized. The record is from RefSeq and is a predicted model, not a curated record. NCBI's taxonomy places the organism in Eukaryota, Metazoa, Chordata, Actinopteri, Mugiliformes, Mugilidae. The transcript has 3 exons.
GACGGAAGCUAUGAACCAGAGAGGCUAAGAGAAGAGGCAUCGUGGUGUAGGAAGCAUCAAAGUUUAAUCGUGGAGGUCGACUACUCGUGGUCCUGAUAUGAACGUCUGUGUGACCUGCAAGAGGAGACGGACGUUGGAGAGAAAGACGGAUUUCCCGCGUGUGAUUGGAUUGACUGCCACCGCCAUUGCCAUUAUCAUCGUGAGACUCUAAUCCCCCCUACAAAAAAACUUUGGAUUUUGAGACGGACGUUGGAGAGAAAGACGGAUUUCCCGCGUGUGAUUGGAAUGACUGCCACCGCCAUUGCCAUUAUCAUCGUGAGACUCUCAUCCCCCCUACAAAAAACUUUGGAUUUCGUG